ACUGCAUCCCCUAGCGGCGCCCGGGUGGCUGCAGCCGCUGGCCCGAAAAUGCUGCUCGGGCGAGCAGGGGUCAGGCGGGAAAAGAAGACUCCAAAUCCACUCUCUGCUCGCCCCCAGGGCAAUGCUGCCAGGAGAGGGAGUGGGUUCCCCCGCAGGCUAUCCCACCGAUGGGGCUGAGAGCUUAAUUUGGGGUUUUAUUUGAAUUGGAGACAUUGUUCCCUCUUCGCUCCUCUACCCCAUAAAAUUCCCUACAAAUGCAAAAAUUCGAGAUAGAAGAAGCCGUCCCUGAAAGUAAGUUCUGAAGGAUUCCUUUCAUGCGGUGAAGGAACAACAACAAUAUUCAACUUCACCUUGGUGUGUGAGGGUCGUCGUGUUUUAAAACACUAUCCCUGUAGAAAGAUUAGUGAAAUGUAUUGGAAGAAGUAGUGGAAACGUGAAUCUUCCUGGUCUCGCGUUUGGAUCUUCUUUGGAGUCCUCACCUUCUUAAAUCUGAUGUUUGUUUGAAAUCAGGGCUGAAUUUCCAUAUAUAGGACAGAAAGAAAGAACCCCAAUUUUUUAAAGAAAGCUCCCCCCCCCCCCGCCACGUUUCUCCUGAGCCCACUUGGUCUCCCGUUAUUAGGCGGCCCAGUUAAGAGGCAUCGAUUUUCCUUUCAUUCUCUGACCACUCGUCUCUCCUGGGCCAGCCAGGCUGCCCGCAUCUUCUCCUGCUCACAGCGCUCUCUAAACCUUUUAAUUAUUUAGUUGCUGUCUAACAUUCACCGGAAACCUCUCCAUAAACAAGGAGAAACGAAUGCACACGCAUUUUUGCUAAGAAGCCCGGGAUUAAGAUUUAAGGAUACAAGCUGAAAGAAAAAAUGAAAAAUGCUUCUCCGCGCGUCAAUCGAGGGGUGGAUGCGCCACGCAGCGUGAGCCCAGCUCACAGCCACGCGUAAGACCAAAAGCUGCCAUGGGUUCUGCGCGCGGAGACCUCAGAGCCGAAGAGAGAAGUCCCCGCGUCAGAAACGCUGCGGAUGCCAGGUCUUGAAAAUGCUGACUUCUGAGGCUAAGAAUUAUUUCAAAGACAAAAAGAAAAGACUGGUGAGGAGGCCUUCCGGUGCAAGGGCGCCUAUCCGCUAAUUUUGGAUGGGGAAGUAGGGAUUAUUCGUUUAAAUUCAAUCGCGAGCACCAAGUCGGACUGGCCGGGGAUGGAGAAGGGCAACCCCCACCUUUAGAAAAAUAAAAGAUCUCGAAGGCCCUUCUUGGUCUGGGUGGUUUGAGGCUGGCAGAGAGGGGUGGGGGGCCUGGGGCUGGAUGUCCCGGGUAAUGGAGCCAGCCGGUAGGGGGUAUUUAGCAUUUAAUUCCCAGCCGGCCCGCCCCAGUUCCCGGACUGACAGUGGGUAAUUGGGAGAGAGGACGUUGCUCUUUUGAUGGCCCGCGCCGGCCAGUCUCGCCGACGCCACACUGGGUUUGACGUCACGGGCCCAGCCCCGGAGCCCGGAGCACAGGGCAGCGGGGAAGGGAAAAGGAUGGGAGGGGGAUGCCGAGGAGGGAGGGCCGAGGUCGGCCUCGGGACCCACGGGGAAGGAAGGGGGAAGGGAGCGAGGCUGGAGAGGCUGCGGCGCGUGGCCUGAGGCGGAGAGCCGGGCUGCGGGGGUCCGGGCCAGGCCAGGCGCCGGCCUGACCCGCCUCGCCGGCAAGAGCAGGCCGGGCUUCCUCCUCCCUUGGCGGGCGGGGGAGGGAAAGGGGGAUCCUGGCCGGGGGUAAGGGGGAAAGGUGGUCCUGAUUCUCCCUGUGCCACCGCCACAAAGCUGAUCCUGGCCUCCUGCGGAGAAGCCUGAGCGCCUUCCCGCAGACCUGACGCGACCCCCUCCCAGGUACCUGGGCCUCGGCCUGGUCUAGCGAGUCCCCUUCCUCCCAAGGAGCAGCCGGCGGAGCUCGGGUGGAGGAAAGCGAGGAGGCGACCAGGAGGAUGCCGCCGCCGCCGCCGCAGGGCCCGGGGCUUCUGCAGGGCGCAAGGCCUCCCUCACCAGGGUAAGGGGCUGGCGAUCAACCUGGACGCCUGGGACCUUGGGAGCAAGCAUCCCGCAGCCGAGCAGGCGACGGCGCGGCCACCGCCUAGAGAGGAGCCGGGGCCCGGGGCGGCGUGCGGGUCGGCAGCAGCCGGCUUGGCCUAUCCGAAACCCCAGGCCUGGAAGCGGCUGCUUUAGGCGUCAAGUUGAGCGGGGUAUGUGUGUCCUCUUGGGAAAAAGGUGAGAAAUGGAGCCGGACUUUCUCCACUCGGUAGGGGUUAAGCUACCACACACACCCCCAAACACAUGCCCACGUGCAAGUCCCUCCCACCCGCCCUCCCAGGGGCGAAGAGACCCUGUCCCAGUGGAAGUGGGGAAACCCAGUCGGGUACAGAAAGCAGAGGCCAUGGCGCAGAGCGGAGGCGCGGCUUUCUGGGGCUCAGCCCUAGGGCUACAGACCCAGGGCGCGGAGAUGCUCGCGGCCGGGCCACCCACCAGAGCCAGGCAACCGGCGCUUCCAGGCGAGCUCCGCGGGGCCGAGGUGCCGGGAGAAGCGGCCCCGGGCGCCCGCGCGCUGCCCGACCUGGGUAACAGGCAAAGCGGAGCCCCGGGGUCGAAGUCCUAAAGUUACUAAUCCCGCGGAGGGGGAGAGAGCGUGCCUCGGGCCGCCCGGGGCGGUCAUUUGAGCGUGUUUACUUAAAGACUUUGCAAGCAGAGCGCGCGCGAAAUCGUCGGAUUUCCAGCGAGGCAGCAAAUAUUUGCAGGCAGAAGAAAGAAGCGGAGCCGAGCCGAGCCGCCGAGUCCCUCCCCCCGGAGCCCCGGAGCCCCGGCGCCUGCCUGGGCGGUCCCGGCCGCGCAGACAGAAAAGAAGCCGGGAAUCUGCGGGGCUGGGGGGCGGGGAGCGACACCAAAGGCCAGAAACUGCAGCACGGCCCGAGGCCCUGGCGAGCUGGGCCUGGGGGAGGAGAAGUCCCUUCCCAUUCCAGCUCGAUCAAUCUUGCUGGGCUGCGAUCGGUCAAUAAAAACGGUGUGAAGCGGCCGCUGUCGCUGUGAGUCUGGGGAGGAAGUGGAGGCCAAAGGUGUCGAGGCCGGCGCCAGUACCCCGCACCAGCCGGGUCCGCGGCCCCGCGGUCUGCACGUCGCAGGCCGGGGGCCAGAGCUUUGCCGGCAGCCGAGAGCGGCCCGGCGGGGCCUUUAAUUGGGUGUCUCCAUUUUAAUAGAGGCCAUUGUUGGAGCAAUUAGAGAAAGACAAUAACCGCCCAGAGACGUUUAAUUCGAUUCCCUGCGCCCGCCGCAGUACGCACCGGGGCGCUCUGGAAGAGUGGCCGAGGCUGCGCGGAAGGGAGGGUCCGCUUGGGGAGGCGCCGGCUUCUUUCCUUGCUUGCUUUGCCUUCGGUGUGGGAAUUGUAAAGGGCGACUGGGGCAAGAUGAAAGCGGGGCGAGGGCGACCUGAGCCAGGCCAGGGCCGGCCUCUCUAGCCCACGCCGGGCGCCCGCGGGACCGCCGCGCCUUUCGCGGCGCGCGUCCAGCUGUGGCCGCCGCGGAGGUCCCCAGCGCCUGUUCAAAGGAGAGAAGCCGGAGGACCGGGCCGUGAAAACUGGCCUCCUUCCUCCUUAGCCCCGGGUCCCCAUUUCUGUCACCCGAACCAUGUCCAUAUUUCCUUCCCUAUGGUGGGAGGAGGGGCAAAGGAGAGAUCCCGGGUAUUGGAGCGCGCACACCUCCGUCUCCAACCCAGCCAGCCUCACCGCCCCCUCCUCCGCCUCGGCCCCUGGAUUAGGUUACCCUGGCCGCGCAAGGGUUUCUACUGGAUAGGACUAUAGCACAGGUAAAGCUGUAUAAACAGCUCGCCGGCUGCCGGGCGGGAGGGUUAUGCCGGGGACACGGCUCCAGGCGCCGCCGCUGGCCCCGGCUGCGCGGGCCACACCGCGGGGAGCCCGCUGCGGCAGGGCGCCCCGGACCGCGCAGGUUAAAUACAUAUUAUCUCUGUCUCUGCCACUCGGGCCCCCGUUUUCUUUCCCUUGCGAGCUGAAAUGCGGAGAGCGGGGAGCAAGACCUAAACGGGAAGAAAAGGCAGUCGGGCAGUGGGCAAUACUGGUUGAGGAUCCCGGCCCAGCAAGGCUGGCUCUCUUCAAACAAAACCCAGAGAGCAGGGAACUUGGGGGAAAGCAGAGAAAGAGGGACCCUAAAACUCACUGGCAAUGGGAAGAUGAUGGAGGCGGGUGCGUCCAAGGGGCAACUCUCCUCGCGGCUCCCACGCCCACGCGCCCCGGGCCAGGAGUCUACCUUCCCCGUGAAAUGAGCUAUCGUUUUGGGGAUGGUAUGUGAUUUGAUUUACCCUUUUUUCUUUUCCUUCCUUUAGUUCUUUUUUCUUUUUCUUUUUUCUUUUUUUUUCUGUUUGUUUGUUUGUUUUGCUUAUUCAUCGAUCACCGUUUAAAACUCGGAAGGAAACCCGCCCAGGCCAGGAGAGCCGCGAGCCGUGGGGAGAGUCAAAAAAGAGGAGAUGCGCUGGGAGAUUCCCCCCGCCCCCGCACUCCGCCCCCAGCCCGGCCCCGGCCUCCACUUCGAGGGAUCCUGACCCUCCCACCGCCACUACCACCUUUUCCCCGGUUGAGAAAACCCCUGAUUGUAGCGAGAUAAAAAUUGGGUAGGUAGGGGUGCAGCGGAAAGGGGGAGACAGGAAGGGAGAGGGCAGGGGAUUUCUGCUUUCGGGUUUAACAACUCACACGUGAGGCGAGUGGCAGUUGGGGGGAGCCCCGGGUUGGGUGGGAGAGAAGGAACUCGCCUUGAGGGUGAGUGGAAAGGAAUUGGAGUCACCCUGGAGGAAAAGUGCCCUUUUCAGCUCUCUCCCUCCCUCCUGGCCUUGGCAGGUGGGGGGACAGGUGGGUGCCACGGGAGGAAAAGAAGGGGUGGAGGCAGCCCAGCCGGCGUCCCUGGGUCUCCCGGGCUUUGGACAUCUUACCCUGCCCCCAGUGGCAUCAGUGACUCCUAGCCAGGGGCUUGCUACUUCUAGACCCGACCUCUCCUCCGUCCCAGGGGGCCGCUCAGCCACACCGCUAUAGCACCCAGGACUCCGGCCCCUGCACCAAGGAAAGGCUCCAGCCUGGCAGAAAUUCACCCAUUUCAAGGCUUGGCCCACCAGGCCUUAGCAUUGCCGGGUGAGGUGGGGUGCACGCGGUGUUCAGUCUGGCCAGUCGGAGUCACCUGCUCCACUCCCCCGGCCUGGUCACCCACAUCCUCACAGCCACCCAGCUCCUGAGCCCCCUGGCCAACCACAGCCCCAACCCCCAGCGCUGGCCUCAGCCGAGUCUCCUCCGUCUGCUUCAGUUUGGCCUUUUAGGAGGAGAAGGAGGGCUUUAUCUGGGGACUAUUGUGUUUUGACUCAUCUAGAUUAGCCUAGGAGCUGGAGUGUGAUUGUAGCGGGACACUCUGGCAGGGGAUGUGUUCACAGCACGGAUAGGAAAAGAGGGGGAGGGGGACUCCAUUCAGAUCUUGGAGACAGUAGAGGCGCGCUUUUAAAAGCACAAACCGUUCUUGUCUUCCUUUGGACAUGCUAGAGACCACCUGGUGAAAAAAAAAAUCCAUGUUUGUGCCCGACUCAGAGGUGCAAAGGAGGAGGUUUGGCAUGCGCACCCUUCUCCCGGCCUCCCUUGGUCCCGGACUGCCCCCUACCCGCAGCCCCUCCCUCCGGGCAGCUCAGCUCUAGGCUGCCUUCCACCUCGCGGACCCUAAGCAAUUUGUUAUAUAAAACAAAACAGCAACCAGACGCAUGUGCCUGUUCUUCACUAACGCCAGCAGACCGGCAGCGACGGAUACCCGGUGGACCUCAGCCGGGACGCCUCGGGCAGCAGCUUCUUGCCCGCUGCCGCACCCACCUCUGCACCCCAGCUCGGGUCAGCCCAGCAGCCAAAGCAAAAGGGGGAUUCCUCAGUUUGCUCCCUUGGAGGCUACAAAGCCUCUCUCUGGUUAUUCCAACCGUUAAGUAAAAAAGAGGUGAUGGGAAAGAUUUGGUCUGCACACAAAGAUAUACCAGGAGAAGAAUGCACAUUUAUGUGUAAAAUGGCUUAGGCACCAAGAAUGAGACAUCACUUCAGUGCAGCCUAGAAAUAGUUAAAAAUAACCGAAUGCUAGAGGACAGAGGUGGUUUUGGGAUCUGCCCCACACUCCUUAUCAGGAUCCCUAAUUCCCUGCCACCUCCUAUGGUUCCAGGACGCAAACUGCUUUAACCUCCAGAAGAGGGGUUUUCAGCCACCUGGCUCCCACCUACCUGCCGGUUCCCCAGGCACUCUGUGUGACCCAGGGCAACUGGACAACCCAAAAGAAAACCCCUACCAAACAAUGCUCAGGGCUUCCCACUCCCAUCCCUUCUCUGCGCCCCUGACUGUCCCCACCUCGUUUAUCUUCUGCAAGAAGGCAGGGUGUAAAUGUCAAAUAAAGAAAAAUGCAGCUUGCCAGAUCUCCUUGCUUUUGGUGGGGACAGAAUAGCCCCAGUGCUGGGGCUGGCAGAGAUCUCUUGUGCAGAGUGGAGGAUGGGCCCGUGGAUUGCAGCCGCUCCGCAUUUUCUAAGCCCUGCGGCUUCUUGGGCCAGGGACUUAAGGCUUUACGGGGCAGCUGGCUGGGAGCUGCAAGCAGGGCCUCCUGCUUGAUCCCACCGAAAGACUCCAUAAUCAGACCCCCUAUGCGACCCGACACCCAAUGGGGUCUUGGUCUGAACUGACACCACGCCCCGACUGGGUUCAAAUGGGUAGAAAACAAUUCCGUUCUUCUGAAUGGCACAAACAUGUCAUGGUAAGCCCCUGACACACACACACACACACACACACACACACACACACACACACACUGCCAGCCAUUUGGGCCCCCAAGCAUCUCAUUUACAGAUGCCUGGAUGGACUCAACCUGCCUGGCUAGACCCCCAGCCCACCCACUGCUACUACCACUACCUUCUCGGCAGCAGCCGCUAGGCAGAGGAGGCUUUGGAAAUGCUACUUCAACAUGGAUCCCUUUAAAGUUCUUAAUCUCCCAUCUGCGACCCCAGCAUCCUGGUGAGCAUGGACAAUAGGGAGGAGAGAAGGACCAGGAAAUAUGGGAACGAAGCCGAGGGAGAUGCCGCACUUUCCCCCCUGCCCUUGCCAGAAUCACCGGUGUCACUUUCCUCAGGCACCCUGUUGGUGUCCGAGAGAAAGAAAAGGCAUGUAAAGCAGCUGUCCUGCCCAGAUUCACUCCACUUCCUUGACAUUUUAACAAUAUCUGUCUUCAGGGGGGAACUGCCUCUGAGUGACUUUUUGGAGGUCUGUUGGUCUGCUGUCCCGGGAGUUAAGUCCAAAUCUUGUCCUCUCUGCCCCUUCCGCUUCGGAUGCCCCUGGGCACCCUCUGGGGAGGCUGCGGUUUUCUCACCCACCUCAGGGUGCUCCUGGAAGCAAAGAAGCCUCCGGACCCCUAGCUUCCCGGGGGUAUGCCAGAUGCAGACACAUCUGGGUUCCAACUUUAUCUUACAGAGCAGAGCUGUUUCUUUAAUUAUAUGCAGAGACAAUGAGCCUCAACACACACCUUUAAACAGAGGAAAAUAAACAUGAAAUUGACACUGAAGCCACCUUUAGAAGAAGGCUCCUGGGCACAGGGGUUGUUUUCCCCAAUCCUCUGCCCUCCUUGCAGUGGGAAACGUGUCUCCGGCCCUUUCCAAGCAUUCCCACGGGCUCUCAUUCUUCCGUUGGGUUUUUCUUCACAUCCCUACUUCUACCAGCUCUUUCCUGCAAACGAGGACAUCCACACACUCACACACCGUACCCGCCCAAGGUCACCACAGAAACCCAGAGAUUUCCAGUGACCAAAAAGAACAAUAAGAACUGGGUUCUAGUUUAGUUUCUUUCAGAGGGAGUCUGCCCUUUGGAGAGGAGGCCUCCUCCUAAUUCUCUCCACGUGGAGCGGGCAGAGGGAGUGCGGAGUUAGAGAGGGAAGAGAGUGAUAUUCACUGACCUGGGCAGCUCGCUCCCGAGGGCCAGCUGUUUUUUAUUUUUUUUCCUGACUCGCCCGGAGAUCUGAAGGCAGAAAUGACAGGCAGAGUUCGCCACUGUGGCCGCCGCUGCCGUCCUGGCCGCUGGAACUGCUCACCGCAUCUCAGGCGGGCUUCCAGCGAGAGGUAAAACCUGGGCGAUGUACGUUCUUCCUGGGAGCCCCCUCCCCUCCGCCUUCUCCUGCUCACUGUAGAGAGCGGAGCUCUUCCGGGUUGCGAAGAGGGAAAGGGAGGGAGGGAAGGAGAAACAGCGAGGGAAUGAAUUUCACCCCCUUUUGCAAACAGGCAAACCGCACAUCAGGGGUGUGUGAAACUGACAGAUCUGGCGGGGGUGGGGAAAGGCGGCCUGAAAUGUGACCGGCCCCUGGCGCCUGCACAGCCCGCUGUCUUCUGGCAGGGUUGGGAUUAACACUAUACAUGUCAUCAGAAGUGUUGACUAGGUCAUUACCAUAGGCAUAAACCCAUGCAUGGCAUUUUCCUUCCACUUUUGGGAGCAUUGGGGACCCAGGGGGAGCCUGUCUUGGUCCGGCCAGUGGCAUCCAUUAGCAGGUCGAAGGAGUUAGGGUCUCUGCCCUCCAGGGCUCUCCCUCUCCCUUCCGACUAUUUCUCCUGUUUCUGUCUAUGCUGAUGCCUCCAAAACGCCCCCAUUCUACUUUCAUCUCUCCUGAGCCGUAGUUGCCCCGUAAAAGUUAGGAGGUGCAGGAUGCUGGGUGACGGGCUGCUACCCUCUGACCCUCCUCGGAGUAGGCAUAAGAAUAUUUGGAGAUGGGGUAUCCUUGGGCACACAUACCAGAGGUUGGGGGCACUCUCUAGGGGUCUCAAUUCUUUUUAAGAAGACUUCUAGGGAAAAUCUGCCUUCUAGCAGAGUGAGAUAAGAAAGCAGGAAUCAGAGGUCGCGCUGGAGAUAAAAUGUCAGAAAGAAAAUGAUCCCGCUGGGCCACCCAUAGGGCCAUGUAAACUCCAGCCCUCCCUGCAAAACCACCUCUCUCCCGUACCAUCCCUACCCCUGCUGGUGAGGAGAUCAAAAUAAUCCACGGAGAGAGAAUCUGUCAUG
RNAcentral lists this long non-coding RNA (9052 nucleotides) under Homo sapiens (human). RNAcentral describes it as "non-protein coding GATA3-AS1:17". Lineage: Eukaryota; Metazoa; Chordata; Mammalia; Primates; Hominidae. The record is from RNAcentral.